RNAcentral lists this transfer RNA (60 nucleotides) under Liposcelis bostrychophila. Its description in RNAcentral is "tRNA-Ser". The record is from RNAcentral. Lineage: Eukaryota; Metazoa; Arthropoda; Insecta; Psocodea; Liposcelididae.
CAGGAGCAUAUUUUGUCUGCUUCUAACAGACUAUAAUCGAUCAAACUCGGAUGUUCCUGA